UUAGCUCAUAUUUGUAUGGAAUGGGAUUGUUUGCGUACGUUUGCCGCUAGGGGCGCUGUUCCAACUGCAUACAAAAAUGGCUUU
RNAcentral lists this microRNA precursor (84 nucleotides) under Bombyx mori (domestic silkworm). RNAcentral describes it as "mir-2807 microRNA precursor family". It matches the Rfam family "mir-2807 microRNA precursor family". The record is from Rfam by way of RNAcentral. Lineage: Eukaryota; Metazoa; Arthropoda; Insecta; Lepidoptera; Bombycidae.